Molecule: ribosomal RNA, 253 nt
Filed under: uncultured bacterium
Lineage: Bacteria
Also listed under: 1 other name
Description: partial 16S ribosomal RNA
Rfam family: Bacterial small subunit ribosomal RNA
Source: RNAcentral
UACAGAGGUCUCAAGCGUUGUUCGGAAUUACUGGGCGUAAAGGGUGCGCAGGCCGCACGGGCAGUCAAAUGUGUAAUUCAGAGGCUCAACCUCUGGACUGCGCUUGAUACUUCCGUGCUCGAACCUUGGAGAGGAGUCUGGAAUUCUCGGUGUAGCAGUGAAAUGCGUGGAUAUCGAGAAGAACACUAAGGGCGAAGGCAAGACUCUAGACAAGUGUUGACGCUCAUGCACGAAGGCUAGGGUAGCGAACGGG